This 263-nucleotide unclassified non-coding RNA is filed under the name plant metagenome. Its description in RNAcentral is "partial contains small subunit ribosomal RNA, internal transcribed spacer 1, and 5.8S ribosomal RNA". The record is from RNAcentral.
UUUCCGUAGGUGAACCUGCGGAAGGAUCAUUAUUGUAUAACCGAGGUGCGAGGGCCGGCGCUGACCCGAAAGGUCGUGCACGCCCGAGUGCCCUCACACACAUCCAUCUCACCCCUAUGUGCACCACCGCGUGGGUCCCCCUUUGGCUUGUUCGGAGGGGGGCUUACGUUUUCACACAAACUUUGUAUGCAGUGUAGAAUGUAUUUUUUGUUUUUGCGAUCACGCAAUCAAUACAACUUUCAACAACGGAUCUCUUGGCUCUC